GACGGGGGGUCCAAGCGUUGUUCGGAAUCAUUGGGCGUAAAGCGUGUGCAGGUGGUCUUGUAAGUUGGAUGUGAAAGCCCCGGGCUUAACUCGGGAAGUGCAUUCAAAACUGCAAGACUUGAGUAUGGAAGAGGGUCGUGGAAUUCCAGGUGUAGUGGUGAAAUACGUAGAUAUCAGGAGGAACACCGGUGGCGAAGGCGGCCCUCUGGACGGAUACUGACGCUGAGGCGCGAAAGCGUGGGGAUCAAACAGG
RNAcentral lists this ribosomal RNA (253 nucleotides) under uncultured prokaryote. RNAcentral describes it as "partial 16S ribosomal RNA". It matches the Rfam family "Bacterial small subunit ribosomal RNA", at positions 524 to 776 of the family's 1533-position model. The record is from RNAcentral.